This is a long non-coding RNA of Manacus vitellinus (golden-collared manakin), 1112 nucleotides long. RefSeq lists it as uncharacterized. The transcript is spliced from 3 exons. NCBI's taxonomy places the organism in Eukaryota, Metazoa, Chordata, Aves, Passeriformes, Pipridae. The record is from RefSeq and is a predicted model, not a curated record.
GGCGGCGUGAGCGGCGCCGCCCGCCAUCUUGGAGCUCGAGUGGCGCGCGGGAGAAUGAUGGAAAUCCUUCCUGACUUAAAGCCUCCACAACUUUCUUUUGAAGAGGUAUUGAUAUUCUUAAAAACUGAGGAGUCCAGCUGCAAACAACAGUCAGGAAAAGGGCAUCGGUCCAUUAAAUGAUAAGAGGCUGUCUUUGAAGGGAUUGUAAUGGCAGGUAUAGUUCUGCCAAGUAGAAAUGAUUCUGGAGACGCUGCAGAAGGUGGAGGCUUUCCUGUGAUGAACCUGGAGGCAGUCUGGAGGGGUUAGGUAAAACCAGGCUGCAGCCAUUGCAAAAGGAUCUUCUGAAAAAGAUCUGCAAGAUGGAUUUGUCAUUGAAUUUAUAGCUACAUGGAUGCGUGUGUACCUGUCAUUAAAUUUGCAUUAGUUCAACUAUAUAUAUCUAAUAUAUAUAAAAUAAGUAUCACUAUUACUUGUAAGUAAGCUUGCUUUAAAAGAACAUUUUGAAAUAAUAUAUGGUUAAUGAUAUGAAUUCCUAGGAAUCUACUAUAGAGGAGAUGGCUCAAAGUCAAGAGAAUUUGUUCAGUGAAACCAAAGGACAUGGGAGUGCCUGGAGCAUCCCAGUGAUGGGCAAAUAACGUACCACCAGAUAGGGGGAAUAUCCAUCAGGCUUGUCCUGCUGCUACCACUUUCCUAACAAAUACUGAAUAGCUAUCAAGCUUCAAUGGCUUUUGAAAACUGGCUAUGUUACUGAAAGUAUUCUCUUGACCUCUGGAGUAUGUUAUUACAAAAAGAAGGGCAUAAUUGACUUAUUGAAUCCACAAUUAUUUGUUCUUGCUGUUGUCCCAUAACAGCAUGGAUUAUAAACCUUAUGUCCUAGUCAGGCAGGCAAAACUGUUACCUUAGUCCUGCUGUUUAAUUAGUGUUUACAAUUGGACGUUGUUUAUAUACCAAUAAAUGUUGCCUGAAUGAAGACUUCCCCUUAACCAAUUAUACCAGAUGUUUCUCUGUGAAGGUCCUAAUUAAACAGCAUCUCUUCUUCUGUUUGCUUUAAUCCUGCCUCUUGUGUGGAUCUCUGUCAGAGUGCAUCACUACACUGGGACACUUUACCCACA